CUGGCAUGCUGCGGUUCAUGGGGUCGUGAAGAGUCGGACACGACUGAGCGGCUGAACUGAACUGAAGACAGAAAAGAGGUUGGCAUGAGAGGCUGACAUGUUUGGGGAGCAGCCUGGAGACCCUUGAUGGGAACCUACAAAGGUAGGGAAGAGGCAAGGAAGAUGAGGCUGCAUCUCGAGGUGUUUGCAUAACACCCUCCACCCCAUCAAAGCAUCUGCCACACUGCAUUGUUACUCCCUCUGAAGUUGCCUUCUCCUCUCACAUGUGCGCUCUUUGAGGCCAGAGAUGGUGUUUGCUCUGCUGCAAGCUUUUACACUGUGACUCCUGCAUGACAAGCCGAUCCGAUUGCAGAAGAGGGACCCUGUGGUCUGCUGGUUAGGGAAAAGUCCUGGAAGCCUGAGCGAGCCCACGGUUUACAGCAUAGCUGAGCAACUGACUCACUCUGAAACCCAGGGUUGCAUCGUUUAACCUCACGGGGCUUGUUGUCCAUCCAGCUGGAAAAUGUGGAAAGAUGUGAGGCUGAACUGAAAAUCAUUUGUGGCCCUGCUGAUUUGCUGGACCACAGGGUACAGUUUGAGACUGCUGGGCUGACUGAGUUCCAGCCCCGUGGGCCAUGACUGGGAAAGGCACACCUUGCAAGAAGCAACGAGAGUUCAUGCUGGUGAGAGUCUCCUCUACAGGAGAGAGAAGCCUCUCUGCAGAAUCAGCGGCUGAGGAUUUCUAGUCUCUGUCCCUGGCUGGUCUCCGUCAAUAAUCAGACUUCCCUAAAUGGACCUUCAGCGGGUCUUAGUAGUAUCUAGAUCCCCAGCUUGCCAGCACAUGCUGACUGUGCUCGGCAGGGUAACUACCCUGCAGUGCCCCUUGCACCUUGUUCUAACGAUCUGCAGAGUCUGCGGGGACUGAGGGUCAGAUCAGAUUUGCUGAACCAGAGAAGGAUUUGAGGGAACAGAGGAGCAAGCCCUGGUUUCCAAACAGAAGUUAACAUAAAACACAUAUCUUUUAAUGGAAAGAAAAUGGAUUGAAAUUUGGUGAAUUAAGUUAAAAGGGAAAACAAUUCGAGGAAGGGACUGUUUAUCUCAUAGGAAAUUGACAUUUGGUAUUGCCUUCAGGUUUCUGAAAGGCAAUAAAGUAUCCCAGGAAUGAUGGCUUCCGAUCUGGGAACUUACAAAAUGUUGUAGUGCGAGACUGGCCUUUGAAGGUAACACAUCUGAUAAAACCUACUAAAGUCUUGAUGGGCAAUAGGUAGUUUACUGGAAGCCACAAGGGAAUUUCCAAAAUGCCUGGGAACCUGAUAAAUUAUGCUUGAAUUGACUCUUUUAUUCCCAAGGCUAAUAAUAUUUUGUUUGUGUUUAAAACACCUUUUAGCUCAGCUAGCAGGUCAAAGUAGAAUUAUUUUGGGUAAAAUAAACCAUUAGGAUAGAAGCAGAAAUAACAAGACAAACAUGGCUGUUUACUCACUGUUCACAAAUCCACAUACAGCAGUUAAUAGAGCUGAAUAUAUAUAUAUCCCUGCAUCCCAUCUUGGAUGAAAACUAUCACCUCAGUAAGAGUGGCUGAAAAAAACACUCAGAACCCACAUGAAGUCUGUCCUCUGCCUUGUGAUUCUGGACAUGACUUCAGGGCCUGGCUCAACAUUUGAAGCCUUCGAUGUCCUGUAUAGGAUGAGUCGUGUCCGACUUUUUGCAACCCCAAGGACUGUAUCCUGCCAGUCUCCUCUGUCCACGGAAUUCUCCAGGCAAGAAUACUGGAAUGACAGGAAGACUGAAGUACACUGACCUGCGGCAACUGAAGACCAGCCGAGAGAGGAACUCCCCUAAGUACCUGGUGGGUCUAAAUCAGAUCAGCAGGGGGGCUGUGGUGAAAUUUCUCUCGGUGACCUGGGAGAACCCAGGGAGGAAACGAUGAGAAUGCGGCUCACUAGACCCCAAAUUUCAAACAGUGCUUCGACACGGAUGCCCAAACAACACACCAGUCACCUCAGUGUGGAACUGGAGCCACCUUCCAGAAUGGGCCACGAAAGGAGAUAUGAGUGCGCGGCAGAAGGCCACGCAGAGAGCCACGCUGGGCUAGACCUACGUCAGCCUGUUUUCUGACAGGUUUGCUAGACCAAGAACCAGCAGGGAGUGCUGCAGACACAGCGGAUCUAGAUGUCACGCGGCGGUUGACAUGGUUCCUUACGAAAUUCUUGUGAAGAAGUAGAGACUGUGUUCUAGGGGCAAAGACAUUCACGUGGCUUCCUAAUUGGCUAGACAACCAGAGGCAAAGGAUGCAGGGGAAUGGUCCACAGCACCCUGGAGGGCGACCCGGAGGGCGGUGUCCAGAGAAAUGUCCCAUCCUACCACACAAGGGCACGGUUGGCAGGAAACUUUAGCCUUAUCUGACAUCCCAUUUUCAAGGCAGAAUGUGCUUUAAUGUUACAUGUGUAAAUGAAAAUUAACUUUAAAAAAUGUUAAUAUAAUAAACAAAUAACAAAUACAAUAUAAUAAAAAUGCAAUAAUAAAAUAUGAAAUACAAUUUAUAACAUUUACUUAUUAAACUAAUCUAUAUUAAUAAGAAAAGUUUAAUAAUAAUAUAUCUUUUUGAUGUUUCCCCAUCUUUUUCAAGAGAAAUCCUAAUCAUCUAUGUUACUUGUGCUAGAAAAAUGGUUGCAAUUAUUCACCCCUUCGUAUAUUUGCAUUCUUUGCAACAAGACCUUGCUGCAUCUCCCAUCAAGAGGUGUCUCUGUCCCUUGAAUGAAGUGGUCUUGUGACUUGCUCUGGCUAAUAACAUGGGGUAGAAGUGAUGCCAUGCCCAUUCCAAACCUAGGUUUUAAGUGGCUGUGGGUGUUUCCACUUUCUGCCACCGCUGUGUGCACAAGCUCCGGCUAGCCUGUUGUAUGAUGAGAAGCGCAUCAUCUGGACACCCAGCUGACAGCCUGCAAACUGCCAGCAUGCAAGUGAGGCCAUCCAAGACCAAGACUGCCACCCGACUGACUCAUGAGCAAGCCCAGUCGAGAUCAGACAGGCCUGGGCCACUUCAGCAGAACUUUCCAGCUGAUCUGUUGACUCGUGAGCAGUCAUUAAAGUUUACUAUCUUAAGUCAUUGGGUGUUAAGGUGGUUUGUCAUGAAGCAAUAGCCAACUGUUACAGUCCAUGCCUGUUCUACUUGAUUUGUCUUGCUACUCUGGUGCUCAUAAUUCUUUGCUUCAGCCAUGCUCUGAAUGAAACGCUAUGUUGACUUGUCCACAGCUCUGCAAAGGCAAAACCUCUGCCUGGUCCACCACCUCCUCCCUCAGGCGUCCUUCUUCAUCCAGGGGACUCCUCCUCCUUGGAGACUCCUGUCAGGCCCCGCCUUUGCCAGGCGGCUCCCAGAGCCCCCUCCUCACAUGCCUUCCAGCCUCCUGCAGCAUGCUGCUAACGGCCCUUAUCUAUACCUGUAUCACAGCACUCCUCCUGGGUUAAAAUCACGCAUUUACUCAGCCUACCAUUCUUGCUGCAGUGUGAAUUCUGUGAGGAAAGUCUUAUCCUUUACCUAUUAUUCCAACAAGCAGUGCAGUUCUUCACCAGUAGUUGCUAGUGUUCACUGCUCCAUUGCGUCCCGUUUUUUGCGACCCCAAGGACUAUAGCCCACCAGGCUCCUCUGUCCAUGGGAUUUCCCAAGCAAGAAUACUGGAGUGGG
This is a long non-coding RNA of Capra hircus (goat), 3658 nucleotides long. RefSeq lists it as uncharacterized. The record is from RefSeq and is a predicted model, not a curated record. The transcript has 3 exons. Lineage: Eukaryota; Metazoa; Chordata; Mammalia; Artiodactyla; Bovidae.